RNAcentral lists this ribosomal RNA (460 nucleotides) under uncultured bacterium. RNAcentral's name for it is "partial 16S ribosomal RNA". It matches the Rfam family "Bacterial small subunit ribosomal RNA", at positions 338 to 795 of the family's 1533-position model. The record is from RNAcentral.
CCUACGGGGGGCAGCAGUGAGGAAUAUUGGUCAAUGGACGAGAGUCUGAACCAGCCAAGUAGCGUGAAGGAUGACUGCCCUAUGGGUUGUAAACUUCUUUUAUAUGGGAAUAAAACAGGGUAUGCAUACCCUCUUGUAUGUACCAUAUGAAUAAGGAUCGGCUAACUCCGUGCCAGCAGCCGCGGUAAUACGGAGGAUCCGAGCGUUAUCCGGAUUUAUUGGGUUUAAAGGGAGCGUAGGUGGAUUGUUAAGUCAGUUGUGAAAGUUUGCGGCUCAACCGUAAAAUUGCAGUUGAAACUGGCAGUCUUGAGUACAGUAGAGGUAGGCGGAAUUCGUGGUGUAGCGGUGAAAUGCUUAGAUAUCACGAAGAACUCCGAUUGCGAAGGCAGCUUACUGGACUGCAACUGACACUGAUGCUCGAAAGUGUGGGUAUCAAACAGGAUUAGAUACCCGUGUAGUC